AGGAAAUACUAUUUAUAUUUUUUUAGUGAGCGAACUGUUUUUGGAUUUUUCGUUUAAUCGUGACCAGAGUUUGGAGCGCGAGUAAGCAACCCCGUUGGUUUAUUAUCAUCAGCGAAGGAUAAUAAAGGAAAGGAAGGAAAGCGCGAGAGGAUCGAGAUAACCGGUAGGACGUCGUGCACCCAGCAUAUACAUAUAUAUAUAUAUAUAGCAGUAUUCUGAAAAGCUGAAACUCCGUAACGGGUGACGGGGAAAGGGAGAAAGAGAAAAGGGAGGAAGGGAAACCUAGAGUUUUCCUCCACCCACAGUGGCACCUUCAACUCACCCUCCGAACAACGACGACGUCGAGCGAUUUUCCUUCUCUUGCUUGGCACACACCAGUCACCAGGAGGAGGGAAAAGGAGGAACAGGAGGAAAUAGGGGGUAGUGAGAAGGAGAGUCGCCUUCAUUAGCAAACUUUCGUUUAAAAUUUUCCGAGAAAAACAACAAAGGAGGAAAUGUCAAUGGACCCAAGUAAGCAGACUAGAGCUCACAGGAAGGAGUUUGACAGCCGUACAUGUAAGAAUAAGUAACCAUGGGACGGUGAAAUGCGAUAUAUGUUUUCAUAGCCAGGCGAAUGGGAAUGAGAAGGAGUGGAAGAGGGAGAGAAUAUUGGAGACGCGAUGUUGCCGGAUCAAUUUCGGUGGACCGCAGACACAAACUGUUUCACAGUGGACUCAAUCGAGCGCGUCUAUUGUAGUUUCUCGCUUUCUGCAAGCUCCAUUGAUCAGCUCUCCCCAACGAUGACUACAAACCAUUCCUUCAUUUUCCUGUCCUUACUCUUCUUCCUUUUACUCCUUCUUCCUUCAACUGCAAUUCUUCCAUUUCUCCGUAUAAUAAACCGUCUCUUUUCGUUUUGCUCCUCCAUUCGUCUCCGGUUCCAAGUCCUUGUCUCCAAAAUUCACUACCACCAUUGCCAGUAUGCAAAAACCAGGAUCCCAACUCCCACCUCUCCCAUCUCCCAACUACCAGACCAACUACCACCCAAACCAACACUUGUCUCAUAACUCCAAUUUCAAGUCGACUUAAAUUUCACAUUUAAAUUACCAACGACGCCACGUUGCCGGAUAAAGAUUUCAGUUCAUGAAAGAAGACACUAUUUAAUAUUAUCAUGAAUUAUAAAUAAAAACGCACCUUUUUUUUUUUUCUUACAAGCUCGUUCAUUUUAGCGUUAAUUUUAUUUGUGGCUAAGAGGGUUUUAAUAAAAAGAUACAUUACCAGUGAGGAAAAUCGCCGAGUUGGAAAGGGAGUGUGUAUAGUGAGGCAUAGUGCGCUUGGGUAAUCAAGCAUCUGUUUUAUUUCGAGCAUAUCAGGGCAAACGUGUGUUUUAGUCACACACACACACACACAGAUUUAAAUCUCCUAACCAGUGUCUAAGAGGUAACAGACGCUUUACCAUCGUACGCAUUACCCAAGUCUUUUAAUUAACCAUUUAAUGCUAAAUUAUUUUUAACUUCUUUUUGUUGGCUUGGAAAAUAAAUAAUUGUUCUUUUGCCUUUUGUUUUACGCGGGCUCUUCAGAGGGAAAACAUCUUUCGCUCCAACGGUCUAUCGAUUUAUCAAUUAGUCGUAAAACAAUUUCAGUAGCCUGACAAUUACGCCAGACAUCGUUCCUUUGAUGUCUCGUCUCUUUGUUGGCUAGAAAAAUUUUUAUAAUUUUCCGUUAGUGUUAUUACUGGACAGACUUGUGUCCAUUAUUGCCAAUAAUGCCUUAGAUUUUCUGUUAAAGUAACAGGAGUUUUUUAAAUUUACGACCUUGUAAACUGGAACAAUAAAAAAGUGAAUAAAGAAAAUGAUCUGGGAGUCCUUUGAAAUGCUCGAACCCUCAUUCCGUCUUUUAUAACC
Long non-coding RNA from Microplitis demolitor, 1880 nucleotides. RefSeq lists it as uncharacterized. NCBI's taxonomy places the organism in Eukaryota, Metazoa, Arthropoda, Insecta, Hymenoptera, Braconidae. The record is from RefSeq and is a predicted model, not a curated record. The transcript has 3 exons.